Non-coding RNA from Oryctolagus cuniculus (rabbit), 4558 nucleotides. NCBI's taxonomy places the organism in Eukaryota, Metazoa, Chordata, Mammalia, Lagomorpha, Leporidae. The record is from RefSeq and is a predicted model, not a curated record.
CGGCCUCCCGCCUGCCGCCUUGCGGCCGGGCCGCCUCCGCCGGUCGGCGCCUCCCGCCCACCCCGCGCUGGCCCGCGGGCCCGGCGCGACUCCUCCUCCCGACCCCGACUCGAGUUUUCAUCUCACUGAAAAUUCAAAAUCAAAAUCAAAACCAGCUGAGAUAGUUACUCGGGUGCCUUCCUUCAGCUUAUUCAAAAGAACACAGAAUGAACGGCUUUAAGACAUGUCAUGGAAAAUGUUAAGAGAAGACGGUCUCUUCUUCUGUGUUGGUGCCUGUUAAUUUCACACCUUGAAGAGAGUCCUCAUAUCAACAAUGAAGCGUCUAUUUUUAAGACACUGAAUUAAAGAUUAUUUAUGAAGAGGUAACAACAACAAAAAAGUCAAAACGGAGUGUCACUCUGGCAUCGACAUGGUGUUCCUGAUUGCUCUUGACUAGGAUUUUUAAAGGCUUAAUGUGGUUCCUGCACAACCUUUAUAAGAAUGCGGCAGCACUGCUCCAAGAAAGUACUCGGGGGGCAAGAACGGAUGGAGACAGCAACCCCAGAGGAGUGGGACAUGGACAAUGGCGAGGUAGCAGAGUGCAGCUCUGUCCAGAGAAAGCUGUGUCCACCCACCACCUGCACAGGGGAUGCCAUGUUGCUGGACACAGAGACCCAUGGAACCCGCCAGAGCAGCAAAAUGACAAAGAGCCCUCCUGUCCUGCUGAGCGGUGACCAGUUACCCAGGAAGAGCCUUCCUCCCAGAGCUGCUGGGCUUGGAAGGGGCGACUCUCAAAUCACGCUCCUCCCCCUGCCCUGCCCCACCUGCGUCUCAGAGGGCCACGCUGUUGCCCCAUCCCACCGCCCUUGGUAAGGCUGGGUGGGUACUUUGAGGAGGAUAUAAAUUGAAAUGUGCUAUUUUUACUUUUACUUGAGAGACAGAGAGACAGGUGACGGUGGGUUGGGGGAGAUCCUGCCUACUGGUUCACUCCACAGAUGCCCGUGAUGGCCAUAGUGCUGGAGUUGGGAGCCUAGAACUCAAUCCAGUUCUCCCAUGUGGGUGGUAGGAAGCCUAUCACCUGAGUCAUCACUGCUGUUCCCUGCAGUCCACAUUAGCAGAAAGCUGGAGAAAGAUACUGAGCCCAGGUACUCAGUUACGGGGUGCUGGCAUCCUAAGCCAUGUCGUAACUGGUAGGCCAAAUGCUUGCCCCCAUGUAUGCUUUAAUUCCAAUGCGCUAAUGAUACUGUAAAACCUACUGAAGAUGUCUAGGGAUAUGCCAACCAUUCACCCUCUUAAAAAAAAGCCCCAGAGAGUGGCUGACAUGAAGUAGUGGGUUAAGCUUCCACCUGUGAUGCUGGUAUCCCAUAUGGGUGCCAGUGGGAGUCCUGGCUUCUCCAUCUCUGAUCCAGCUCUUUGCUAAUAUGCCUGCGUGUGGGGGACUUCAGAGGACGGCCUGAGUACUUGGGCCCCUGCCUCCUGCAUGGGAGACCCGGAUGGAGUUCCAAGCUCCUGACUUCCACCGGGCCUGGCUGUGGUCGUGGCUGUCAUUUGGGGAGUGAACUAGCAGUUGGAAGAUAUCUCUCUGCUCUGUCUCUUUCUCUCCCUCCGUAGCUCUGCCUUUCAGAUAGAUAGGUAGAUCUUUAAAAAAAAAAAAAAAAAAACAGAAACAUUGAUGGAGUCAAGAGAAGACGGUCAGUUCGCCUGCAGUAAGAGAGAACAUCUCUCUUUACAGGGCUUUAAUGGUGCCUCAGAUGGGGAAGGGGAAGCGAUGAUUUUAACGUGGCGAUUGCAAGGCAGGGCGGGCGUCGCUGGGGGUGAUGGGUCCGUGUGUGACAUAAUCGCUCAGGAUAAAUGCAGAGCAAGGCCAAGGUCUCCAAUGGAAACCUUUGAGAGUAGAUAGUCUUAACCAAUGAGCCGCUUCCUUGACACUUCCAGCUCAGAACUGAUGUAUAGUGUUCUCUCUCAAAACGGCUUCUUUCUGGACCACGUAGUCAGGUUGUUUUGCUUGAUCUCAGGAUCAUUGGCUCUUGGGAGAGAAACCGGUUUCUGAUCUCAGUUCUGUUCACAGAGGAGCAAGAAAUUAUAAGGGUUUUAGCGCUCAGAUGAGAAAAGUAGAUUUGACCCCUCAAACAAUGCUGAAAGCAGUGAUUGGACACAAGCAAGAACUUUAUGUUUCUGCUCCCACUCCACUAGCCUUUGAAAUAAACACAGCACCAUUAUAUUGUUAUUAUCCUCAUUUUGAACUGGAAGCUCAAAGAGACAGAAAACUCAUCCAAGUCAGAAUUCAAACCAGGCCUUGUGAGGGGAUCUGGUGAGACAUCUCAUGCCCCGCUGGCUACCUGGCUUGCCACUGCCUGACUCUCAGUCUCUGUUGAGUUCUGUUUCCCCCACCAUCCUGUACCACCUCCGAGGAAGACAGCACUUGGCUGCUUCUCUUAGCAUAUCUGACGCAAAAAUAAGACAUUACCACUGCAAAUAGAGCUGUGGUCUUCCCCCACCCCCCACUGGAAAGUUUUUCUCUUAUGUUCAAGUCUUUAAAAAUAGCCUGAGGUCUCAACUGCAUCAGAAAUAGAGAUAAGAGUGCACAAACACAUGUGAGCCGAAGACCGACGGCUUGUCGGCUCCAAGACACUGGGUUUGUCCAUCAGGUGCUACUCAAAGAUUAUUUCAGCUCCUGGCCUCUGGGUUGCGGACAGCAACUUAGGGGAUGGUGGCGGUGGUUCACAAACACGACCGCCUCUUCUAUCCCAGGGCACACAGUGGGGCUGAGCACAGGCCGAACGCCUUUGUUUUCACAAGUACAUUCUGUAUGUGAGCCGUGGCCCAGGACCACCUUACCACUGCUCUGCCAGGAUUCUGCAGGGCUCCCGCGAGCGCCGCGUGAUUCCAUUUUUUUUCCCUGGGGGAUCUUAUUCAGUGAUUGAAUAAGAAAAUCCAACGUGCGUCCAGGGACACUCAGAGCUACACUAUUCUGAUUAAAAUUGUUUGCCAUGAAGAUUCGAAACUGUUAGAAAAUAGUAGAAAUGAACAUGCGGUGGCCAGAUUACUGAGUGUUCUCAAUGGUUUAUUUAUUUGUUUAUUGAGAUUUAUUUUAUUUAUUUGAAAGGCAGACUCACACAGAGAGAGGGAGACACAGAAAGAGGGAAAGACAGAGGUCUUUCCUCCACUGGUUCACUCCCCAAAUGGCAACAGUGUCCAAACCUGGGCCAAACUGAAGCCAGGAGCCCGGAGCUUCUUCCAGGUCUCCUACGUGGGUACAGGGGUCCAAGCACUUGAGCCAUCUUCUGCUGCUUUCCCAGGUGCAUUAGCAAGGAGCUGGAUUAGAAGAGGAGCAGACAGGACUUGAACCAGCAGCCAUAGGGGAUGCCGGCGCUGCAGGCCAUGGCUUUACCUGCUAUGCCACAGCGCCAGCCCCUCAGUGGUUCAUUUUGAAGAUGAGUUCGAUGGGGCAGACUCGUUGGCAUUUGUGCGAUGCUUAUAGGCUGUGCUUCCUCUGAGGAGACAGAGAGGCAGGUGGAGGUGUUGCUUAACCACUAGAAAAGAGGCAUCCACCCUGUUACAGACAGCACCACGGAUGUGGAGGGUGCAUUUCCCCGUAAGAUGCCGUUUGUCUGGGGCUUCCGAUGAAGAUCAGCUGGCAGAGUGCAAUGGGAAACUGGGUCAUUAUUUUAGGUACAAGAGCUUUCAUUUAAAAUUACCCCCAUAAUGUAUGCUUGCAUUUUUAUGGUUGUGGUUGUGGCUGAAGCAAUCCUGUGAAUUAUCUAGCACCCAGCUUUAAUUACACAUCUUCCUAAGCUAAUGGAUUCCGUUGUCCAUAAUGGAAUUUGUAAAACAUCCAGCCCUCCUCGGUGGGGAUAACUUUCCAAGCUUUGAUUUUGCGACAGCGCUGGCUGCUCCUAUGUGGCAGGUGCAGCCUGCACCCCAGCUGCCCAGGGGGGCUCCUACGGCCCCUCUCCCCUACUUCUUAUUUCUUCUCUCUUCUCAUGUCUCCCUUCUCCACUGACUCUCUACUUCCUAUACAAACUUAACAGUUUUGCUGUUUCCAGAAUGCCCCGAGCUGUGUAGACAAAACAUUUUAUUGUUUGAUUCAAAAAGCUAAUAAUAAUUCUAUUUUUAUCCAAGGUCACGUAGUGCCUGCUAACAUUACCACCGUGUCUUCCUUAGUAUUUACCUCCUUCAGAGCUUCUGUUUGUAAAGUAUGCUCUUUAAAACAAAACAAAACAAAACAAAACAAAACUACACAAAAUUCUUUGUUCUAGGUGGACUCUGAAUGAGUGAGGGCUUUUUUUUUUCCUGGCAAAACCCUGCUCAAGGUCACGUGAAUGUCACAACUUCUCGGGUAAGAUGGCUGAGAUGGUCUGAACACAGAAGCCCUGAGAGGGUUUGGUGGCUAAGAAGGAACCCACAGGGCCCCUCCCUGCCGGCAUUUAUCUCUGUUUGGUUUUCAGGGUUUGGCUUCAGCUGGGUGGAGUUCUUGUCCUUGUAUGUGGCUCGACCUUCAGGCACCCAGAUCUUUGCGUGAGGCCUUCACGGUGCCCUCUCUCUCCUUUGUCUCCUUGUCUUGACCUUGGCUUAUGAA